RNAcentral lists this transfer RNA (76 nucleotides) under Azospirillum sp. RNAcentral's name for it is "tRNA-Phe". It matches the Rfam family "tRNA". Rfam says of the family: Transfer RNA (tRNA) molecules are approximately 80 nucleotides in length. Their secondary structure includes four short double-helical elements and three loops (D, anti-codon, and T loops). Further hydrogen bonds mediate the characteristic L-shaped molecular structure. tRNAs have two regions of fundamental functional importance: the anti-codon, which is responsible for specific mRNA codon recognition, and the 3' end, to which the tRNAs corresponding amino acid is attached (by aminoacyl-tRNA synthetases). tRNAs cope with the degeneracy of the genetic code in two manners: having more than one tRNA (with a specific anti-codon) for a particular amino acid; and 'wobble' base-pairing, i.e. permitting non-standard base-pairing at the 3rd anti-codon position. Lineage: Bacteria; Pseudomonadati; Pseudomonadota; Alphaproteobacteria; Rhodospirillales; Azospirillaceae. RNAcentral also lists the same sequence under 10 other names. The record is from RNAcentral.
GCUCGGGUAGCUCAGUUGGUAGAGCAGAGGACUGAAAAUCCUCGUGUCGGCGGUUCGAUCCCGUCCCCGAGCACCA